AGAGUUUGAUCAGUGGCUCAAGGACGAACGCUGGCGGCGUGCUUAACACAUGCAAGUCGAGCGGAAAGGCUCCUUCGGGGGUACUCGAGCGGCGAACGGGUGAGUAACACGUGAGUAAUCUGCCCUUGGCUUUGGGAUAACUACCGGAAACGGUGGCUAAUACCGGAUACGACCACUCCUUGCAUGAGGUGGUGGUGGAAAGUUUUUUCGGCCAGGGAUGUGCUCGCGGCCUAUCAGCUUGUUGGUGGGGUAAUGGCCUACCAAGGCUUCGACGGGUAGCCGGCCUGAGAGGGUGACCGGCCACACUGGGACUGAGACACGGCCCAGACUCCUACGGGAGGCAGCAGUGGGGAAUAUUGGACAAUGGGCGGAAGCCUGAUCCAGCAACGCCGCGUGAGGGAUGACGGCCUUCGGGUUGUAAACCUCUUUCAGUACCGACGAAGCGCCGAUGAUGGUGGUGACGGUAGGUACAGAAGAAGCACCGGCCAACUACGUG
RNAcentral lists this ribosomal RNA (496 nucleotides) under uncultured bacterium. RNAcentral's name for it is "bacterial SSU rRNA". It matches the Rfam family "Bacterial small subunit ribosomal RNA", at positions 8 to 507 of the family's 1533-position model. The record is from RNAcentral.